CUACGGGGUGCACCAGUGAGGAAUAUUGCACAAUGGGGGGAACCCUGAUGCAGCAACGCCGCGUGGAGGAUGACGCAUUUCGGUGUGUAAACUCCUUUUAUAUGUCAAGAAAAUGACGGUAGCAUAUGAAUAAGCACCGGCUAACUCCGUGCCAGCAGCCGCGAUAAUACGGAGGGUGCAAGCGUUACUCGGAAUCACUGGGCGUAAAGGACGCGUAGGCGGGUUGGAAAGUCAGGUGUGAAAUCCUACAGCUUAACUGUAGAACUGCACUUGAAACUUCUAAUCUAGAGUAUGGGAGGGGGCGAUGGAAUUAGUGGUGGAGGGGUAAAAUCCGUAGAUAUCACUAGGAAUACCUAAAGCGAAGGCGAUCUCCUGGAACAUUACUGACGCUAAGGCGUGAAAGCGUGGGGAGCAAACAGGAUUAGAUACCCCCGUAGUC
Molecule: ribosomal RNA, 439 nt
Filed under: uncultured bacterium
Lineage: Bacteria
Description: partial 16S ribosomal RNA
Rfam family: Bacterial small subunit ribosomal RNA
Source: RNAcentral